CGGAUGGAUUAGAGAUUUUUCUUUAACAGUGGUAACAACAGAAGCAACCUUAACAUGCUAAUUCUUAUCUAGACAUUGCCCUAAUGUGAUUCUCAAACAUGCUUUUCUAAAAUCAAUGCAAGUACAAAGACAUGCAUUCAUGACAUGAAAAUAAGCAGACAUGAUGUUGAAUACACAUGGCAAACAAUCAAAGAUAAGACAAGAGCAAGACAGGCAGUUAUGCAAUUCAGAAGAUUCAGUACUCUCUACUUAAACCAAUUAACACAAGUGUAACAGGUAGAAAGCAGAAUUACAGAUAUUCAAUAAUCUCCUAAAAGCAUAAUGAUCAUAGACAAAUUAAUAAUCACAUUAUCAAUUCAUACUAGUCCCACUCUAUUGUUAUAUGGCAUUAUACUAUCUCUAUUACUUAAGUUAGUUUUAGAUCUAACAUGAAGUUCUAAAAGUUCUACUAACACAAGGUAGAUAUUCCAUCAUAGAACAAAUAAAUUCCUUAACAAACAAUUCAGAUAAAUAAGCAAAUCUAAUUGUACUAGGGAAUCUGAAACUAAGUGUUUUAACAAAGUUAUAUAUGCUAGGAUCAUAACCCCUAAAACUAAGAGUCGUGUUCCAAAGGAAAGCUUCUAAUCUCACCAUUGCAAAUAAUCAAAUCCUAAAUAUUCAUACACAUGUUAAGAAUCUGCUAAAGACACAUGCACAAGAUUAUCAUCAAUCCUAGUUACCAGAAUAGUCAUCUAGCAUACUAGUUUAUCAUUAUCUAUUUUGAUGCUAUCAUGCUUGUGCUUGUGUGUUAAACAAUUCUACUCAGAGAUUUAUAACACGCUUUGAAUAUAAAGAAAUAUGUAAUGCAUAGUUAGAAAGAAUUCGUACCUGAGAUGUGCGAGUUGAGUCAUCUUCAGAGAAUGCUAGGAUAGCCAGAUAACCAUAAUCAUCCUUCUCAUCAGCAACUUAUCCAGCUCACACCUUUCCUUAAGUAGCAUAAGAACUUGUUGUGAUGCUUCGUUCAAAACAUCCACUUGAAUUUCAGACAAGCCCUAUCAUCCUUGUUUGUCGAGGCUUCAAUAUAUAUAGCAACCCUUCUUUGCUUAAGAUACCAAACAAUAUUGUGUGUACUGACCAACUCAGUUUUCAAACAACCUGUCGAACUGAACCCCGAAGAGUCUCCACUUGAAACCAAUGGAUUCCAUCUGAAUCUGACAUGACUAAACCUCUCAGACAGUGUUAUGCUAAUCCUUGAAGUUCUGUCCUCACAUUCUUCAAAAGUGUUAACUUUCGUCGACUUGAGCUUCCUCAAAUUCAGCAGUUACAAACUCUUCUGUUCAAUCCUAAGGUUCUGACAUAAAUGCACGAAACUGAUUUGGUGCGGUAGUAACUCGAUAAUUAUAUCCAUAAACCUCCACAGUUCUCUGUCUUUGGUUCAGUUGAUUCUGGAUGGAUUUAGCAUUAAUACAAUUCACUGUGUAAUUGUAUAUCCAUGAAUCACUGAGUUAGAUUGAAAUCCCUUGAAGAUUCGUCC
RNAcentral lists this long non-coding RNA (1513 nucleotides) under Daucus carota (carrot). RNAcentral's name for it is "long non-coding RNA (DCAR_LNC002196)". Lineage: Eukaryota; Viridiplantae; Streptophyta; Magnoliopsida; Apiales; Apiaceae. The record is from RNAcentral.